CCGUGGCUCAGUCGGUAGAGCAGCUGAUUCGUAAUCAGCAGGUCGCCGGUUCAAGUCCGGCCGG
Molecule: transfer RNA, 64 nt
Filed under: human gut metagenome
Rfam family: tRNA
About the family: Transfer RNA (tRNA) molecules are approximately 80 nucleotides in length. Their secondary structure includes four short double-helical elements and three loops (D, anti-codon, and T loops). Further hydrogen bonds mediate the characteristic L-shaped molecular structure. tRNAs have two regions of fundamental functional importance: the anti-codon, which is responsible for specific mRNA codon recognition, and the 3' end, to which the tRNAs corresponding amino acid is attached (by aminoacyl-tRNA synthetases). tRNAs cope with the degeneracy of the genetic code in two manners: having more than one tRNA (with a specific anti-codon) for a particular amino acid; and 'wobble' base-pairing, i.e. permitting non-standard base-pairing at the 3rd anti-codon position.
Source: RNAcentral